RNAcentral lists this ribosomal RNA (492 nucleotides) under uncultured bacterium. RNAcentral describes it as "partial 16S ribosomal RNA". It matches the Rfam family "Bacterial small subunit ribosomal RNA", at positions 29 to 507 of the family's 1533-position model. The record is from RNAcentral.
AGUGAACGCUGGCGGUAGGCCUAACACAUGCAAGUCGAACGGCAGCACAGUAAGAGCUUGCUCUUACGGGUGGCGAGUGGCGGACGGGUGAGGAAUACAUCGGAAUCUACUUUUUCGUGGGGGAUAACGUAGGGAAACUUACGCUAAUACCGCAUACGACCUACGGGUGAAAGCAGGGGAUCUUCGGACCUUGCGCGAUUGAAUGAGCCGAUGUCGGAUUAGCUAGUUGGCGGGGUAAAGGCCCACCAAGGCGACGAUCCGUAGCUGGUCUGAGCGGAUGAUCAGCCACACUGGAACUGAGACACGGUCCAGACUCCUACGGGAGGCAGCAGUGGGGAAUAUUGGACAAUGGGCGCAAGCCUGAUCCAGCCAUACCGCGUGGGUGAAGAAGGCCUUCGGGUUGUAAAGCCCUUUUGUUAGGAAAGAAAAGCAGCAGGUUAAUACCCCGCUGUUCUGACGGUACCCAAAGAAUAAGCACCGGCUAACUUCGUG